CGGCGUGCCUAAUACAUGCAAGUCGAGCGAACGGACGAGAAGCUUGCUUCUCUGAUGUUAGCGGCGGACGGGUGAGUAACACGUGGAUAACCUACCUAUAAGACUGGGAUAACUUCGGGAAACCGGAGCUAAUACCGGAUAAUAUUUUGAACCGCAUGGUUCAAAAGUGAAGGACGGUCUUGCUGUCACUUAUAGAUGGAUCCGCGCUGCAUUAGCUAGUUGGUAAGGUAACGGCUUACCAAGGCAACGAUGCAUAGCCGACCUGAGAGGGUGAUCGGCCACACUGGAACUGAGACACGGUCCAGACUCCUACGGGAGGCAGCAGUAGGGAAUCUUCCGCAAUGGGCGAAAGCCUGACGGAGCAACGCCGCGUGAGUGAUGAAGGUCUUCGGAUCGUAAAACUCUGUUAUUAGGGAAGAACAUAUGUGUAAGUAACUGUGCACAUCUUGACGGUACCUAAUCAGAAAGCCACGGCUAACUACGUGCCAGCAGCCGCGGUAAUACGUAGGUGGCAAGCGUUAUCCGGAAUUACUGGGCGUAAAGCGCGCGUAGGCGGUUUUUUAAGUCUGAUGUGAAAGCCCACGGCUCAACCGUGGAGGGUCAUUGGAAACUGGAAAACUUGAGUGCAGAAGAGGAAAGUGGAAUUCCAUGUGUAGCGGUGAAAUGCGCAGAGAUAUGGAGGAACACCAGUGGCGAAGGCGACUUUCUGGUCUGUAACUGACGCUGAUGUGCGAAAGCGUGGGGAUCAAACAGGAUUAGAUACCCUGGUAGUCCACGCCAUAAACGAUGAGUGCUAAGUGUUAGGGGGUUUCCGCCCCUUAGUGCUGCAGCUAACGCAUUAAGCACUCCGCCUGGGGAGUACGACCGCAAGGUUGAAACUCAAAGGAAUUGACGGGGACCCGCACAAGCGGUGGAGCAUGUGGUUUAAUUCGAAGCAACGCGAAGAACCUUACCAAAUCUUGACAUCCUUUGACAACUCUAGAGAUAGAGCCUUCCCCUUCGGGGGACAAAGUGACAGGUGGUGCAUGGUUGUCGUCAGCUCGUGUCGUGAGAUGUUGGGUUAAGUCCCGCAACGAGCGCAACCCUUAAGCUUAGUUGCCAUCAUUAAGUUGGGCACUCUAAGUUGACUGCCGGUGACAAACCGGAGGAAGGUGGGGAUGACGUCAAAUCAUCAUGCCCCUUAUGAUUUGGGCUACACACGUGCUACAAUGGACAAUACAAAGGGCAGCGAAACCGCGAGGUCAAGCAAAUCCCAUAAAGUUGUUCUCAGUUCGGAUUGUAGUCUGCAACUCGACUACAUGAAGCUGGAAUCGCUAGUAAUCGUAGAUCAGCAUGCUACGGUGAAUACGUUCCCGGGUCUUGUACACACCGCCCGUCACACCACGAGAGUUUGUAACACCCGAAGCCGGUGGAGUAACCAAAGAGGAGCUAGCCGUCGAAGGUGGGACAAA
Molecule: ribosomal RNA, 1451 nt
Filed under: uncultured organism
Description: partial small subunit ribosomal RNA
Rfam family: Bacterial small subunit ribosomal RNA
Source: RNAcentral